AAGGAAAGCUUGCUUUUCUGAAUCUAGUGGCGAACGGGUGAGUAACACGUAGGUAACCUGCCCAUGUGCCCGGGAUAACUUCUGGAAACGGAUGCUAAUACCGCAUGAGACCACAAUUCCACAUGGAGAAGGGGUCAAAGGAGGAAUCCGCUGAAGGAGAGGUUCGCGUCCCAUUAGGUAGUUGGCGGGAUAACAGCCCACCAAGCCGACGAUGGGUAGCCGAGCUGAGAGGCUGAUCGGCCACACUGGAACUGAGACACGGUCCAGACUCC
This 272-nucleotide ribosomal RNA is filed under the name uncultured bacterium. RNAcentral describes it as "partial 16S ribosomal RNA". It matches the Rfam family "Bacterial small subunit ribosomal RNA", at positions 71 to 339 of the family's 1533-position model. The record is from RNAcentral.